GGCAGUUCUCAGGUGACACACCCUGGAAUCGGGCUCCCUCCUCUCUGGUUCCGGGUGUGUCACCCAAGAACCACA
Molecule: non-coding RNA, 75 nt
Organism: Myotis brandtii (Brandt's bat)
Lineage: Eukaryota; Metazoa; Chordata; Mammalia; Chiroptera; Vespertilionidae
Source: Rfam